Molecule: long non-coding RNA, 356 nt
Filed under: Physcomitrium patens
Lineage: Eukaryota; Viridiplantae; Streptophyta; Bryopsida; Funariales; Funariaceae
Description: long non-coding RNA (PPAT_LNC014493)
Source: RNAcentral
AGAUCUUCAAAUUUCUAUGCAAUAUAGAUAUUUUAGAUCUUCAAAUUUCUAUGGAUAUAUCACAUGGCUACUAAAAUUUGUUCCACAAGUUUUUUUUUUAAUUUUGUGAAUAAAUAUUGAAAGUAAUUUAUAACUUAAUACCUAAAUCAAAAGUCUUGUAGUCUUUAAAACUCUUUCAUAAGGCCUUUUUAAUAGUAAGUAUAUAUAAAGAUAGUAAUUAGAUCAUUCUAAGUCUUGUAGAUAUCUUUCUUAUAUUUUAAUCUUACUUGAAGAUUCUCUAGCUUCUUUGUAUUUAGCAAUAGUCAUUCUAAUUUUUUUCUAUCUUAUAUUUAAGUCUUUUUUCUACUGUCUUUCUU